GCGCCCGUCCGCCUGGAGCGGCUCGACAGCGUGGAGCGCCGCCAGACAUGGGUCCAGGUGCUCGGACGCGAGCUGGUGCAGCUGGUGCUCUCCCGUGACUGGCAGAUGAGAGAUUCUGGAAUUCAUCGCCUGGCUGAGGAGCUCACCGGCAUCGUGCGCCGGCCGAGCAGCAGGUCCGCGGAGGAGCUGCUGCACUGUCUGGCCGACCUGCUGGCCACACUCUGCGCCGAUCCCGUCCACAAGGUGUUCCUCGGAGCCAUCAAGUGUCUGCGGCUGCUGCUGCAGCACGUCCGGCCGUGCGCGGC
Pollicipes pollicipes is the source of this 305-nucleotide long non-coding RNA. RefSeq lists it as uncharacterized. The transcript has 3 exons. Lineage: Eukaryota; Metazoa; Arthropoda; Thecostraca; Pollicipedomorpha; Pollicipedidae. The record is from RefSeq and is a predicted model, not a curated record.